Octopus bimaculoides (California two-spot octopus) is the source of this 766-nucleotide long non-coding RNA. NCBI's taxonomy places the organism in Eukaryota, Metazoa, Mollusca, Cephalopoda, Octopoda, Octopodidae. The record is from RefSeq and is a predicted model, not a curated record.
UUCGCGCUGGAUUGCGUGUUCGUUUCUCUUUUUAACAUCUGUGAUUUUACUUUUGUACUUCUAUAUAAAUGAAGAUAUUUCUUACGUCUGGCUGCUUUUCUUUCCUCAAAACGCUUCUUGAGGUUAUGGUCGUGUGUUCGAUGUAUCUGUCUUGUCAAACGAGAGAAAACUUCUGCUUGGCAGCUAAGAAGAAAUUAUAGCUACUUCCGCCAGGAUGCCGACAGAAUAUGCAGUCACGCACAAAAUGCCAGCUUCCAAAUCCUGUUUCCUGACUGGGUGAAAAUGAUCAAACUUUAAACCUCUAUAACUUUUUAAAAACAUUUUUCUGGAAAAAAAUGAAAUAACUCCAGCAAUUCAGUUUGGGUGAUAUGAGGAUGCAGCUUAUGAAGAUAGAAGAUGCAGCCUUUGAAGAUAGAGGGUGCGUGCAUUGUUCUGAGUCUUUUGAAGGUUAUGAUUUAUCGAGGAGAGACUGGGACAUAGGCAGAACUAGUAUAAUCAAUUUUGGAUCGAAUGUAUCGUUUGCAAACUAAUGUCGUUGUUUCCUAGUGAUGGCUAAACAUAGUGCUUGUGAAUAUGCCAUUAUACCUUCUUUGCAGUAUCUUCUAUAUGUGCUGUGAAUGUUACAGAGAUGUUUUAUGUACUGUGGUGUAUAUUUAUGUAGUUGAGUGUGAUGUCAGUUGUGUAUGAUAUUGUCAUGUGUUGCAGCUAAAGUUUGUAUUUUGGAGCCGAGUCCCUAAAGAAUUGAAGGGAUUGAAGCAGAUUUGGA